Long non-coding RNA from Apis cerana (Asiatic honeybee), 903 nucleotides. RefSeq lists it as uncharacterized. NCBI's taxonomy places the organism in Eukaryota, Metazoa, Arthropoda, Insecta, Hymenoptera, Apidae. The record is from RefSeq and is a predicted model, not a curated record.
GAAUUAUUCCGCGGACGUGGACGCCACGUACGAUACGCAAUUAAGCCAGUCCGAUGAAUUGCAAAUACAGUCGUUAGCCGACCAUUACAUUCGAAUGCUUUCAAGAGUGGCCGGCGGAUAGAUGAGGUAGGAGGCAGAGAGGCAGGAAUCGCGAGAAACCAUCCAAGCAGCGUCGCUGUAAUCCGAGCCACGAGCGGAAUUUCAAUCUCCCGGCAAAUGGAACACCGUGGUCCCAUGGCGUAAAGGUCGCCAACCGCGCGUGCACGCCAUCCAGGACGGACGGUCUGAUGAUGGUUCGGGUCGGUCGUUACCCAGGCUAAGUGGAUCGCCGUUACGGUGAUCAGGCACGACCUUUGUCGUCUCGAAGGAAGACGAUCCUCUUCGUGGAAGUAAUCGAGAGCUCCUUAUUACAUUCUAUCCGACACUUGAUUAUUCUUCCAAUGAUGGAUUAAUUAAGUUGCCCGAUUCGCCGAUGUUUUCCACAUGUCAACAGACAAAACAGUCAUUAUCGAGGUGAAUAACGACCACUUUGUAAAACGACGAACAAUGCUUUUGUACUGUGACACGUCUCGUAUUUACGUACUUACAAUACGUUGUUUCACGAUUCCUCAAUGGUUUUUUUUUUACAAUUUCACGUGCUGUACAAUGAUGCAAGUAUAGAAAAGUACUAUACAAUAUAAAGAAGAUUUAUCGUACGUAUAUUGUAAUAGUUUCUUUUUCUUAUAGAUUCAUUCUUGCCUUUCAGACAAAAAACGAUAUGAGUUAUUUCAAUUCUGUCUGUUGCAAAUUUGUUAAUGACCAAUUAAAUAUACAUAUGUUUAUAUCUCAAUCAAUACAUGGAAUAUGGAAUGUCAUUUAAAUAAUUUUCAAUUAUCUAUAAUAAAAAUUGUAAGAGAUUUAAAA